UCCUACGAUGGUGAAUGUGAU
RNAcentral lists this non-coding RNA (21 nucleotides) under Caenorhabditis elegans. The record is from RNAcentral. Lineage: Eukaryota; Metazoa; Nematoda; Chromadorea; Rhabditida; Rhabditidae.